CGGGGUGUGGCUCAGUGUAGAGAGCUUGCCUAGCAUGUGUGAGGCGCUGAGUUCAAUCCUCAGCACCACAU
Molecule: transfer RNA, 71 nt
Filed under: Marmota monax (woodchuck)
Lineage: Eukaryota; Metazoa; Chordata; Mammalia; Rodentia; Sciuridae
Description: tRNA.Ala
Source: RNAcentral